This 281-nucleotide long non-coding RNA is filed under the name Pan troglodytes (chimpanzee). Its description in RNAcentral is "long non-coding RNA NONPTRT012500". Lineage: Eukaryota; Metazoa; Chordata; Mammalia; Primates; Hominidae. The record is from RNAcentral.
GUGAAAUUCAAGAAUGACUAUUUCUCAAAGUGAAGUCACGUUUUUACUGCCUUUUUACAUGGAUCUCAAAUCUCUGCAAGACUGAAAACUUUGAGAAUAAAAAUUGAAGGUGCCGGGCAGCCUACAACAUUGUGACAUGGCUUUCAAGCUUCCGGAUCACUCACCAUUUCUUUACUGAGAGUGUCCCCUGGCAACUGCUUAACAAAAUCCCAAGCUCAGGGGCUUCUCAGCAUUUACCUAAUUUCUGAAAGGCUCUUCUGAAAGGUGGUAUCUGUUCUUUC